Molecule: long non-coding RNA, 1101 nt
Filed under: Gossypium barbadense (sea-island cotton)
Lineage: Eukaryota; Viridiplantae; Streptophyta; Magnoliopsida; Malvales; Malvaceae
Description: long non-coding RNA (GBAR_LNC022296)
Source: RNAcentral
GAAUGGAAUAGUAGUCCGGUAAGAAUGGCAAAAGCUGACCGGAGACAGUAUCGGAGGCAUCGUGGAUGGAGGCAGGGCUUUCUUUGCUGUAGAUUCUGAAAAAAAGUUCUAUAUCAUGCAUAGGUUAUACAAAUUUAUUAUUUUUGCAUAUCAAAAAUACAUCAUCCCCUUCUUCCCUCGCUUGGCGUGUAAUAAUGUGCAGUAGGUUUAGAGUGUCUUCUUGGUGCUUCAGAGUUUUUGUCAUGCAAAUUUAGCUGUAAGCAAAGCAAUAUGCUAUAAUUUCUGUAAUACCCGAUUUUGCCCGGGUAUAGAAGGCCCGAAUUACAGCAGGCCUACAUGGCCCAAACCCGAAAUAAAACAAAGCCCCAAAAUUACAAACCCAGUGGUCCAAAACAAUUUCAGAAACCCCUAGGGUUUCUGGGGUAAACGUUCACGCCGCAACCAUGUCCUCCGCACGAGCCGAAUCUCCACGCGCGCCUUCACCUGCACAGCAAGAAAGGAAAUAUAUGGCAAGAAAAUCAAAGAUUUGCAAAAUCAAAUUGAUAUGAACAGAUUUGCUUCUUUAUAUUGUUUAAUUAUGGCUAUAAAAAGCCAUUAAAGAUUAAAAGGGAUUAGAAAAUCAAUAAAAAAGUAGCAUUUCGCACAAAAAGAGGAAUCGAAAAUACAAAUAGAGAGUUCAAUACUGAGAAAGCAGAAAUCAAUUCAAAAGGUUGAUAUCAACAGUUUUUUUUCCUUUUUCGUUAGUCUACUGUUAUUAUAUAUAUUUUUUAUUUACAUACAAAUAAAAUAAAUAAGAGAAAGAAAGAAACAACUUUUCUUUUGAUUUUGAAACGAAGCUGAGAUGGUCGAGAGAGCCAUCCCCGAGGAUCGAUGGUCGGAAACCGAAAGGUUUCUUGAUUUCUUCGCGUUUUUUGUUGAUUUUUUGGAGACUUUGAACUCGGAUUUGGGUUUAGAAAGGUCGAAAGGAUCGAAUAGGAGAUUUUCUCCUUUUCCGGCUACCGCAGAUGGCGAUGCCAUCGCCGGAGAUCAGCGGCCGGCGCGGUGGCCGUCGAUCGGCCGGUGCCCGGGCCCCUGGCCGGACUUAUCGAAGGGAGUGUUUUU